This 253-nucleotide ribosomal RNA is filed under the name uncultured bacterium. Its description in RNAcentral is "partial 16S ribosomal RNA". It matches the Rfam family "Bacterial small subunit ribosomal RNA", at positions 524 to 776 of the family's 1533-position model. The record is from RNAcentral.
UACGGGGGGAGCAAACGUUGUUCGGAAUCACUGGGCGUAAAGGGCGUGUAGGCGGCUGAAUAAGUGGGAUGUUAAAUCCCCCGGCUCAACCGGGGACCUGCAUCUCAUACUGUUCAGCUCGAGCACAUCAGAGGAGACUGGAAUUCCCGGUGUAGCGGUGAAAUGCGUAGAUAUCAGGAGGAACACCGGUGGCGAAGGCGGAUCUCUGGACCAGUUCUGACACUGAUGAGCGAAAGCCAGGGGAGCAAACAGG